AAACGACUCUCGACAACGGAUAUCUCGGCUCACGCAUCGAUGAAGAACGUAGCAAAAUGCGAUACUUGGUGUGAAUUGCAGAAUCCCGUGAACCAUCGAGUUUUUGAACGCAAGUUGCGCCCGAAGCCUUUUGGCCGAGGGCACGUCUGCCUGGGCGUCACAU
This 163-nucleotide ribosomal RNA is filed under the name Senecio crassissimus. RNAcentral describes it as "5.8S ribosomal RNA". It matches the Rfam family "5.8S ribosomal RNA". Rfam says of the family: 5.8S ribosomal RNA (5.8S rRNA) is a component of the large subunit of the eukaryotic ribosome. Lineage: Eukaryota; Viridiplantae; Streptophyta; Magnoliopsida; Asterales; Asteraceae. The record is from RNAcentral.